UACGGGGGGAGCAAGCGUUGUUCGGAUUUACUGGGCGUAAAGGGCGCGUAGGCGGUCGUGACAAGUCACUUGUGAAAUCUCCGGGCUUAACUCGGAACGGUCAAGUGAUACUGUCGGACUAGAGUACAGAAGGGGCAACUGGAAUUCUCGGUGUAGCGGUGAAAUGCGCAGAUAUCGGGAGGAACACCAAUGGCGAAGGCAGCUCGCUGGGACGGUACUGACGCUGAGACGGCGAAAGCGUGGGGAGCAACAGG
This 254-nucleotide ribosomal RNA is filed under the name uncultured bacterium. RNAcentral's name for it is "partial 16S ribosomal RNA". It matches the Rfam family "Bacterial small subunit ribosomal RNA", at positions 524 to 775 of the family's 1533-position model. The record is from RNAcentral.